UACGUAGGGCGCAAGCGUUGUCCGGAAUUAUUGGGCGUAAAGAGCUCGUAGGCGGCUUGUCACGUCGUUGUGAAAGCCCGGGGCUUAACCCCGGGUCUGCAGUCGAUACGGGCAGGCUAGAGUGUGGUAGGGGAGAUCGAAUUCCUGGUGUAGCGGUGAAAUGCGCAGAUAUCAGGAGGAACACCGGUGGCGAAGGCGGAUCUCUGGGCCAUUACUGACGCUGAGGAGCGAAAGCGUGGGGAGCGAACAGG
This 251-nucleotide ribosomal RNA is filed under the name uncultured bacterium. RNAcentral's name for it is "partial 16S ribosomal RNA". It matches the Rfam family "Bacterial small subunit ribosomal RNA", at positions 524 to 776 of the family's 1533-position model. The record is from RNAcentral.